Molecule: non-coding RNA, 1424 nt
Organism: Coturnix japonica (Japanese quail)
Lineage: Eukaryota; Metazoa; Chordata; Aves; Galliformes; Phasianidae
Source: RefSeq, a predicted model, not a curated record
CUCAGUCAGCGUUUGGGUGUUACCAGGCUGAAUGGAAUAAGUGGCAUAAAAUAAAAAAGAAAUACCAAGUCAGAACAAGUGGUCUGAACUCACACUCAUUCAUGCUAAAAAGGAAAAGGACUCCAAGACAACCAGUGAAAGAUGCAGCUGCAAUUUUUCCUCCACGAGGAGAUCACUGCAACAGAAGAAAACCUGCAGGUAAGAUCUUCUAAGACUUCCCUGUAAGUUCUCAAGAGGAUCAGUUUCAGGUAACCCAGCAAUGAAUCUUGCUACAAAAACAUCACUUCUGAUUAUGUUUCUUUACCACCUAACAGAUUUUCAGCUGUGUACUUGGGUCUCUUGGGUAACUGAGACAAGUAUUUUUUACUGUAAAGGAUUAAGACACAUGUUUUAAUGGUCAACGGCCUGUGAUGUUACAGGAGCCGCAGCAGAGGUGAAACAGACUGGACUAGUUCUGUUUUCACUCUUAUCUCCUUUCUUAAUGGAACUAAAGGAAAAAAAAAAAAACAGUGGAAAAAACCGAUCUGCUUUGGACAUACACUGGGCACAGGCAUCUUCUUCAUCAAGUCAUCCAGGAUUUUGUACAUGUUCAUCGAUGCGGGAUUUGCAGUGGCUUCCUUGGAGAGCAAGUGCCGUGCUUCAUCCAUUCGGCCUUGCAGUACGAAGAUAUCCACCUGCAGAAAGCACGUCUGUGAGUACCAAGCUGUGCAGGGCUACCACGCACCCAGGUGGAAUAUCAGGAGAAUCUUCAAGAAAGCCAAGUAGAGUUACAAGAUUUCAACUCUAGGCCCUGCUAAUUUGAAUAUACAACCUCUGUGAAUCAUGAAAUUGGAUGGUGGUUGAGUCACUGUCCCUGGAUGUGUUUAAAAGCCAUUUGGAUGUGGUGCUCGGGGACAUGAUUUAGCGGAGGGCUGUUGGGUAGGUAGGGUAGCAUGGUUAGGCUGUAGUUGGACUUGAUGACCCUUCGGGUCUUUUCCAACCUGAGUGAUUCUAUGACCUUGACAAUGCUUUAUCUUAAAACUACAAAGACAGAAGCAGCAUCUCAGGUAUCAGUUUCUGAGAUGUGCUACAGUGCUGAGAAGAGGAAUGCGAGACACACAGGCACGACUUCAUCUAAACGUCUGACAGGGGGCUGUACUCACCACGUUCCAGAAGAGUUUGUGUUUUGAUGGAUUUUCGCUGCUCAGAACUUCACGGACCAUGUUGUCUACAUCACAGAUGUGAAGCUGAACCCAGUCAAGGAGACGAAGCAGGAGAGGACCAGCUUUACACAGAGAAGGUAUCACUGUUAGUUCCCAAACUGUUUGUCCCCAGGCAGUUAAUUUAAGAAGGUUCUUAUGCUUUAAGGUCAAAUAAACUGGGAACAAGUUUUUGUUUAUUAUGCUUCUGUGAGAAAUAAAUAAAUAAGCCAGUGUAAAGUAGAA